Molecule: transfer RNA, 75 nt
Filed under: Gammaproteobacteria bacterium
Lineage: Bacteria; Pseudomonadati; Pseudomonadota; Gammaproteobacteria
Also listed under: 4 other names
Description: tRNA-Val
Rfam family: tRNA
About the family: Transfer RNA (tRNA) molecules are approximately 80 nucleotides in length. Their secondary structure includes four short double-helical elements and three loops (D, anti-codon, and T loops). Further hydrogen bonds mediate the characteristic L-shaped molecular structure. tRNAs have two regions of fundamental functional importance: the anti-codon, which is responsible for specific mRNA codon recognition, and the 3' end, to which the tRNAs corresponding amino acid is attached (by aminoacyl-tRNA synthetases). tRNAs cope with the degeneracy of the genetic code in two manners: having more than one tRNA (with a specific anti-codon) for a particular amino acid; and 'wobble' base-pairing, i.e. permitting non-standard base-pairing at the 3rd anti-codon position.
Source: RNAcentral
GGGCGCGUAGCUCAGCGGUAGAGCACUUCCUUGACAUGGAAGGGGUCACAGGUUCGAUCCCUGUCGCGCCCACCA